AGAAUUUGAGUUAAUAAAGAUGAAAGGGAUUUUAGGGUAGUUGAGCAUAGAAAAGAGAGUGUUGUGUUGAAACCUAAAGAGUGCAUGUGGAGAUGAUAUGGGCCAGCAAGGCUUGGUUAGAAGAAGAAGAAGAAGAUGGAGAGAGAAAGAGAGAAAGAGAGAGAGAGAGCACAUGGGUGGCACAUGAGGAGAGAGAAUGAGUUGGUUGAUCUUUGAGGAAGAGAAGGCAUGUGAGAAAGGGGGACAGUGAGGCAGCAUCAAAUGUACACCAUGUUCUGCACAUUCCCUGCAUCAAACUGAUCAAAUCUCAGCACACCAAUCUAAUCUUCUCUUUCUCCAUUCUUACACACACAUUCAUUUAAUUACUUUUAAUUUUCAUUUUCUAUACGAAUAUGAUACGAUUAACAA
RNAcentral lists this long non-coding RNA (408 nucleotides) under Vigna radiata. RNAcentral describes it as "long non-coding RNA (VRAD_LNC000329)". Lineage: Eukaryota; Viridiplantae; Streptophyta; Magnoliopsida; Fabales; Fabaceae. The record is from RNAcentral.